UUCUUAACUAUACUUUAUAUUAUGGUCGGAUAAUUGUACUAUCUUAUCAUGUAUGUGAUGACUCUCUUAUAUAGUUUAAUACAAGUAACUAACCAAAACUAUGCACAAUGUUAUCCUAAUACUAACCACUCAGCAACAUCUCCACCAUCUAAAGUCUACUCCAGGAAAGUCUCAUCUCCCUCUGCUUACACCCACAGGAUGAUCAUUGCAAAGGAAAAACACCACACAUACAAAAUACAAACACAAGUAGAUGGGUAAGCUAGAUAUACAAGAAAUCAUAGUAAACUAAUUCAAGCAUCCUAGUAGGUUAUGUUCUAGACUUGACUAUCCGGACUUCGAAUGAUUGUCGAGCUAUGUGUUAAGUCCCUGGCAAGUGUACCGAAUCUUUAUCAAGUAAUAUAAAACGGGUAAGUCUGAGUAUCGUUUCCCAAAGGACUCUUUAGGCCUUAACUUUCAUGUAAAUUAAUCGCAUAAGACUUGAGAAGAAAUUAAUUUUAGGGUUUGGAUGCAGAACGAAAAUAUACAUGCAAAAUGCAGUGAAUCAAUUGGCUAAAAGAAACUAUGGAUGAAUGGAGUUGUUGCAGUUUAUAAUUUCAUCUUAUCCACCCUCUUAUAUCUACUCUUCAUAUCUAAUUUUCUUAUUUAUCAUAUUGUCAUGCAAACUUUCUUAGUCUACCCUAAACCCAAUCUCUUGGCGAAAAGAGCCUAUUACUAAUUACUGGCUUGCUAUCUCUAGCCGUGCCACCGCUCAGCGGUCAGUUUUACCAUUGAGCGGUUUGCCUCUAAUCGCUCUGGCCGCUCAACGUUGGUUUUUGCCGCUCAACGGUGUAUAUACUCUUCUUUUCUUCCUUUUUCUUCUUCAUUCUUGAGUCUAAGUCCAUCCUAAUUCACUUCCAUCUUCAAUUCUCAUCAAAACCCUGCAAAACAAUGCAAAAACAAGCAUAAUAUCUCUAAAACCAACUUUUGACUCUCUCAUGAAUCAACUAAGU
Molecule: long non-coding RNA, 989 nt
Filed under: Vigna radiata
Lineage: Eukaryota; Viridiplantae; Streptophyta; Magnoliopsida; Fabales; Fabaceae
Description: long non-coding RNA (VRAD_LNC011489)
Source: RNAcentral